Molecule: microRNA precursor, 97 nt
Filed under: Marmota monax (woodchuck)
Lineage: Eukaryota; Metazoa; Chordata; Mammalia; Rodentia; Sciuridae
Source: RNAcentral
UAGGGUGAAGAAUGUGUCCCAGUUUGCUUGAGACUUUCCUAGUUUUUAGCACUGAUAGUCCCAGGCAAACUGAGAUCAUUAAUCACCCUACAGGAUU